RNAcentral lists this ribosomal RNA (623 nucleotides) under uncultured bacterium. Its description in RNAcentral is "bacterial SSU rRNA". It matches the Rfam family "Bacterial small subunit ribosomal RNA", at positions 8 to 639 of the family's 1533-position model. The record is from RNAcentral.
AGAGUUUGAUCCUGGCUCAGGAUGAACGCUAGCGGCAGGCCUAAUACAUGCAAGUCGAACGGUGGUAGCAAUACCAUAGUGGCGCACGGGUGCGUAACACGUAUGCAACCUACCUAUUAUUGGGGGAUAGCCUUUGGAAACGGAGAUUAAUACCGCAUAAUACGAUUGACUGGCAUCGGUUGAUUGUUAAAGCUUAGGCGAUAAUAGAUGGGCAUGCGUCCAAUUAGUUAGUUGGUUAGGUAACGGCUGACCAAGACGAUGAUUGGUAGGGGAUCUGAGAGGAUAAUCCCCCACACUGGCACUGAGAUACGGGCCAGACUCCUACGGGAGGCAGCAGUAGGGAAUAUUGGGCAAUGGGCGGAAGCCUGACCCAGCCAUGCCGCGUGCAGGAAGAAGGCGUUAUGCGUUGUAAACUGCUUUUUUAUAGGAAGAAGGAUCCCUUGCGAGGGAAGGUGACGGUACUAUAAGAAUAAGCACCGGCUAACUCCGUGCCAGCAGCCGCGGUAAUACGGAGGGUGCAAGCGUUGUCCGGAUUUAUUGGGUUUAAAGGGUGCGUAGGCGGUUUAUUAAGUCAGUGGUGAAAGACGGUCGCUCAACGAUUGCAGUGCCAUUGAUACUGGUAG